CGUGUAGGCGGUUUGUACAGUCAGAUGUGAAAUCCCCGGGCUUAACCUGGGAGCUGCAUUUGAUACUGGAAGUCUGGAGUCCGAGAGAGGUGAGUGGAACUCCGAGUGUAGAGGUGAAAUUCGUAGAUAUUCGGAAGAACACCAGUGGCGAAGGCGGCUCACUGGCUCGUAACUGACGCUGAGGUGCGAAAGCGUGGGGAGCAAACA
This 207-nucleotide ribosomal RNA is filed under the name uncultured bacterium. RNAcentral's name for it is "partial 16S ribosomal RNA". It matches the Rfam family "Bacterial small subunit ribosomal RNA", at positions 568 to 774 of the family's 1533-position model. The record is from RNAcentral.